GAGAUGCAAUAGAUACCUCUGCUCCAAUCAGGCCAAAAAGAAGCGGCUGGAAAAUGUCCCAGGCAAUGGCAAUUACCCGUUCAACCUCACCCUAAGAGAAAAGCAGAACACAAAGACAUUUUUACUAUGAAGCCGGUCCUCAUGAACGGCCCUUCAUUUGUUGCACUGGGAUGGAAGAGAAGAAUUCAUUUCAUUCACUGCAUGAAGUAUACUUCCAAUUGUCAGUAAGGGAUUUCAGGACCUUUUCAGAUGAAUCAGUAUCACCUUCCCCUGCCUGAAUCACAGUAUUUGACGGCCGGCCUUCAUCAUCUUCACCCAAGAGUUCCUGUCCUUCUUCACUAACACUAUAAUCUUCCAAAUCAAAGAGAUUCAACUCCAAAUUCUGAAUUGAUCUGAAACUGAUUCCUGAUCCACCCAGUCACCUGAAUGUUCACUUAUACCAUCAUCCAGAUCUGAUCUGAUGGAGUCUUCAUCAAUUCACUGCUAUUACUUCUUUCAUAACUUAUCUCCCUUACUCCGCAGAGCCGGUUCCCAUCACCCUGGGCCUUGGCUCACUGAAGAUUCCCCUCGAGGGCCAAGGCCCCUGGGGAGCUCAGACACACUUGGGAACUGAGGAAGGAGGCCUCAGGCAGGGAAAGCAGCUGGACCUCUGCCCAGGGUGCGGUGGGGACUGGGGCUACCCCAAAGACUAAGCUUUUGCUGUAUUUUCCAGUCACAAGGCCGCCUAUACUUACCUUUAAAAAAAAAAUAAACCAUCAUUCAAUAUGG
Molecule: long non-coding RNA, 768 nt
Organism: Cavia porcellus (domestic guinea pig)
Lineage: Eukaryota; Metazoa; Chordata; Mammalia; Rodentia; Caviidae
Exons: 2
Source: RefSeq, a predicted model, not a curated record